GUGCAGCCCACCCUUUUCCUUUUGCAGUGCUGACCUUUCUUGUGCACAAGCUAAAAUAAACAUUCUCUUUUUCUUUCUUUUUUUUUUUUUUUUUGAGAUGGAGUCUUGUUUUGUCGCCCAGGCUGGAGUGCAAUGGCACAAUCUCAGCUCACUGCAACUUCUGCCUUCCAGGUUCAAGCAAUUCUCCUGCCUCAGCCUCCCAAGUAGCUGGGAUUACAGGUGUGCACCACCACACCCAGCUGUUUUUUUUCGUAUUUUUAGUAGAAAUGGGUUUUCACCAUGUUGCCCAGGCUGGUCUUGAACUCCUGGGCUCAAGCAAUCCACCUGCCUCAGCCUCCCAAAGUGCUGGGAUUACAGGGGUGAGCCACCACACCCAGCAAUCUCACUUGAUUUCUAUCCUGGAAGACUACAAGAACCAAGGAUGAUUGUAACAUCUCCUGGUACCCCAGAUGGGACCCUCAUUUUAGGUCCCCACAGGAGUUAGCAAGACUUCCUGGAGGACAGAGGCAACUGACCAGGUGGUAACAAAGGUGGCCACUCUGGACCAUUGCUUUGGUGUUGGUGCUUUGGAGAGUCAAGUCUGGACCCUAGUCCUGAAGAGUUCCAUCACCAUCACCACUGUGGAGCCUUGGGUCACCCUCAAUAUGGCAGGUAGGAAACUGAAUUCCUUAUGGAUACCAGAGCCCCCUACUCUGUCCUGACCCAUCCUGAUGGAUCUCUGUUCAGCGCCAGUUGUACAGUGACGGGAACAGAUGGACAACCCAAGACUACAAUAGUUUCAUGUCAAGUUAAUCAUUGUGCAAGACUUCUAGGUUACUUAUUAGCUG
Molecule: long non-coding RNA, 827 nt
Filed under: Homo sapiens (human)
Lineage: Eukaryota; Metazoa; Chordata; Mammalia; Primates; Hominidae
Description: HSALNT0397921
Source: RNAcentral